UAAGAAAUUGUAAGUCCAGAAGUCUGUUGAGAUUAUGAGGACAGUUUUAGUUGUGAUCAUAAUAAGGAUGUAUUGCUAUGGAUGUUUUAUGGGAUGUAUAAGAUUAUUUUUUAAUUUUGUUAUCAGUUUAAAUGUCAAGUUCUCAUGUUCAUAGAGGAUGUGUAUGACUGGUAGAUAUAGAAGCUGUGUAAGUAAAGGAAGAGCUAGAAUUGCAGCAUCUGUUUUGGAGAAUGGAAUUUGUAGGAGAUAAAUUAACAGCUAUUAAGUUAUUAAUUUGUAAAAGGAAUUGUGGAAAGUAUAACUAAUGUUGACAGAAUAAUGGUUGAAGAGAUUUGUGUCAAUAUAUGCUAUCAAGUGUGACAAGAUUGAGCAAAUCUAUGAUCAAAAACAUUCCAAAUACAGUGUUUCAAAGAUUGCAUUAUCAAAUGUGACUUUUCUUUUUUAAGAUGGGAAGUGUGUGUGUGUCGGGGGGUAUGAUUUGAAGGACAUUUGGUUACUAUUUCAGACAGGAUAAGACUACAAAGCAGCUUUUUUUUAUUAGAAGUUGAAGAUGUUGCUCUACCCUAUAAUGGUGAUGAGUGUAGAUCUGAGGAAAAUGCUGCUGAUGUUGAACAUGUAUGUGAGUGUGAAAUUGGAUGACUUGUAAAAACUCUUUAAUUAUUACAUGGCAUUGAAAGGAAUGAUGAAGUUUCUUAAUAAAUCGCAGUACAUAAUCACAAAAAUAAAGACAGAAUUUCAAACAUGUCCCAAUCGUUUUUAAAUUAUUUAUUUAUCAACAAUUAGAACCAUGAAAUCUUCACACAGAAUUGAUGCUGUAAUGUAAAACUGUUCCAAGUUUUUUUUCAUAAAAUUCUGACUUUACAGAUAACAAACAAAAGAAUUUAUAGA
This is a long non-coding RNA of Octopus sinensis (East Asian common octopus), 888 nucleotides long. RefSeq lists it as uncharacterized. The transcript is spliced from 2 exons. The record is from RefSeq and is a predicted model, not a curated record. NCBI's taxonomy places the organism in Eukaryota, Metazoa, Mollusca, Cephalopoda, Octopoda, Octopodidae.